UACGUAGGGGGCGAGCGUUGUCCGGAUUUAUUGGGCGUAAAGGGCUUGUAGGUGGCCACGUCAAGUCGGAUGUGAAAUCUCCCGGCUCAACUGGGAGGGGUCAUUCGAUACUGAUCGACUCGAAGGCAGGAGAGGGUAGUGGAAUUCCCGGUGUAGUGGUGAAAUGCGUAGAUAUCGGGAGGAACACCAGUGGCGAAGGCGACUACCUGGCCUGUUCUUGACGCUGAGGCGCGAAAGCUAGGGGAGCAAACGGG
RNAcentral lists this ribosomal RNA (254 nucleotides) under uncultured bacterium. RNAcentral's name for it is "partial 16S ribosomal RNA". It matches the Rfam family "Bacterial small subunit ribosomal RNA", at positions 524 to 776 of the family's 1533-position model. The record is from RNAcentral.